CGAACGCUGGCGGCGUGCUUAACACAUGCAAGUCGAACGGAAAGGCCCUGCUUUUGUGGGGUGCUCGAGUGGCGAACGGGUGAGUAACACGUGAGUAACCUGCCCUUGACUUUGGGAUAACUUCAGGAAACUGGGGCUAAUACCGGAUAGGAGCUGCUGCUGCAUGGUGGGGGUUGGAAAGUUUCGGCGGUUGGGGAUGGACUCGCGGCUUAUCAGCUUGUUGGUGGGGUAGUGGCUUACCAAGGCUUUGACGGGUAGCCGGCCUGAGAGGGUGACCGGCCACAUUGGGACUGAGAUACGGCCCAGACUCCUACGGGAGGCAGCAGUGGGGAGUAUUGCACAAUGGGCGGAAGCCUGAUGCAGCAACGCCGCGUGCGGGAUGACGGCCUUCGGGUUGUAAACCGCUUUCGCCUGUGACGAAGCGUGAGUGACGGUAAUGGGUAAAGAAGCACCGGCUAACUACGUG
This 466-nucleotide ribosomal RNA is filed under the name uncultured bacterium. Its description in RNAcentral is "partial 16S ribosomal RNA". It matches the Rfam family "Bacterial small subunit ribosomal RNA", at positions 30 to 507 of the family's 1533-position model. The record is from RNAcentral.